Molecule: ribosomal RNA, 1378 nt
Filed under: metagenome
Description: bacterial SSU rRNA
Rfam family: Bacterial small subunit ribosomal RNA
Source: RNAcentral
AGAGUUUGAUCCUGGCUCAGAACGAACGCUGGCGGCGUGGAUUAGGCAUGCAAGUCGAACGGGAUCUCUUGGACGGACGCUUCGGUUGAAGUCCUUGAGUGAGAGUGGCGAACUGGUGAGGAACGCGUGGGCAAUCUGCCCUGAAGUCUGGGAUAGCCCUUGGAAACGAGGAGUAAUACCGGAUGUGAUCGCCCCGCACCUGCGGGGUUGUUUAAAGGUGGGGAUCUUCGGACCUGCCGUUUCAGGAUGAGCCCGCGCACUAUCAGCUUGUUGGUGAGGUAAUGGCUCACCAAGGCGUAGACGGUUAGCUGGUCUGAGAGGAUGGUCAGCCACACUGGGACUGAGACACUGCCCAGACUCCUACGGGAGGCUGCAGUCGAGAAUCAUUCGCAAUGCACGAAAGUGUGACGAUGCGACGCCGCGUGGAGGAUGACGGCCUUCGGGUUGUAAACUCCUGUCAUGAGGGAAGAAUGUUCUGUCGAUUAAUACCCGGCGGGAGUGACGGUACCUCAAGAGGAAGCCACGGCUAACUCUGUGCCAGCAGCCGCGGUAAUACAGAGGUGGCGAGCGUUGUUCGGAUUUACUGGGCGUAAAGGGUGCGUAGGCGGUUCUGUGUGUCGGAUGUGAAAUCUCACCGUCCAACGGUGAAACUGCAUUCGAAACUGCAGAACUAGAGUGCAGGAGAGGAAAGUGGAAUUCUCGGUGUAGCGGUGAAAUGCGUAGAUAUCGAGAAGAACGCCGACGGCGAAGGCAACUUUCUGGACUGAUACUGACGCUGAUGCACGAAGGCUGGGGGAGCGAAGAGGAUUAGAUACCCUCGUAGUCCCAGCCGUAAACGGUGUGCACUUGGUGUGGGUGGCUUUGUCCCCAUCCGUGCCGUAGCUAACGCGUUAAGUGCACCGCCUGGGGAGUACGGCCGCAAGGCUAAAACUCAAAGGAAUUGACGGGGGCCCGCACAAGCGGUGGAGCAUGUGGCUUAAUUCGAUGCAACGCGAAGAACCUUACCUGGGCUUGACAUGGUACUGCACGCCCCGUGAAAGCGGGGUUCCUUCGAGGGUGUACCACAGGUGCUGCAUGGCUGUCGUCAGCUCGUGCCGUGAGGUGUUGGGUUAAGUCCCGCAACGAGCGCAACCCUUGUCGUUAGUUGCCACUCCCUUCGGGGAAGCACUCUAACGAGACUGCCUGUGAUAAGCAGGAGGAAGGUGGGGAUGACGUCAAGUCAGUAUGGUCCUUAUGUCCAGGGCUGCACACGUGCUACAAUGGACGGUACAGAUCGAGGCAAUACCGCGAGGUGGAGCAAAUCGCUAAAACCGUCCCCAGUUCGGAUUGUAGUCUGCAACUCGACUACAUGAAGUUGAAAUCGCUAGUAAAGGCGUAG